UAGGGAAUCUUCCACAAUGGACGAAAGUCUGAUGGAGCAACGCCGCGAGAGUGAAGAAGGGUUUCGGCUCGUAAAACUCUGUUGUUAAAGAAGAACAUAUCUGAGAGUAACUGUUCAGGUAUUGACGGUAUUUAACCAGAAAGCCGCGGCUAACUACGUGCCAA
RNAcentral lists this ribosomal RNA (164 nucleotides) under uncultured bacterium. RNAcentral describes it as "partial 16S rRNA". It matches the Rfam family "Bacterial small subunit ribosomal RNA", at positions 355 to 511 of the family's 1533-position model. The record is from RNAcentral.